RNAcentral lists this ribosomal RNA (311 nucleotides) under Serratia symbiotica. RNAcentral's name for it is "bacterial SSU rRNA". It matches the Rfam family "Bacterial small subunit ribosomal RNA", at positions 129 to 442 of the family's 1533-position model. The record is from RNAcentral. Lineage: Bacteria; Pseudomonadati; Pseudomonadota; Gammaproteobacteria; Enterobacterales; Yersiniaceae.
CCUGAUGGCGGGGGAUAACUAGUGGAAACGGUAGCUAAUACCGCAUAACGUCGCAAGACCAAAGUGGGGGACCUUCGGGCCUCACGCCAUCAGAUGUGCCCAGGUGGGAUUAGCUGGUAGGUGGGGUAACGGCUCACCUAGGCGACGAUCCCUAGCUGGUCUGAGAGGAUGACCAGCCACACUGGAACUGAGACACGGUCCAGACUCCUACGGGAGGCAGCAGUGGGGAAUAUUGCACAAUGGGCGCAAGCCUGAUGCAGCCAUGCCGCGUGUGUGAAGAAGGCCUUCGGGUUGUAAAGCACUUUCAGCGA